RNAcentral lists this ribosomal RNA (1341 nucleotides) under uncultured bacterium. Its description in RNAcentral is "16S ribosomal RNA". It matches the Rfam family "Bacterial small subunit ribosomal RNA", at positions 28 to 1381 of the family's 1533-position model. The record is from RNAcentral.
GACGAACGCUGGCGGCGUGCUUAACACAUGCAAGUCGAACGGUAAGGCUCCAGCUUGCUGGGGUACACGAGUGGCGAACGGGUGAGUAACACGUGGGUGACCUGCCCUGCACUUCGGGAUAAGCCUGGGAAACUGGGUCUAAUACCGGAUAGGACCGCACCGUGAGGGUGUGGUGGAAAGUUUUUUCGGUGUGGGAUGGGCCCGCGGCCUAUCAGCUUGUUGGUGGGGUAAUGGCCUACCAAGGCGGCGACGGGUAGCCGGCCUGAGAGGGUGGACGGCCACAUUGGGACUGAGACACGGCCCAGACUCCUACGGGAGGCAGCAGUGGGGAAUAUUGCACAAUGGGCGGAAGCCUGAUGCAGCGACGCCGCGUGGGGGAUGACGGCCUUCGGGUUGUAAACUCCUUUCACCAUCGACGAAGGGUUUCUGACGGUAGAUGGAGAAGAAGCACCGGCUAACUACGUGCCAGCAGCCGCGGUAAUACGUAGGGUGCGAGCGUUGUCCGGAAUUACUGGGCGUAAAGAGCUCGUAGGUGGUUUGUCGCGUCGUCUGUGAAAUUCCGGGGCUUAACUCCGGGCGUGCAGGCGAUACGGGCAUAACUUGAGUACUGUAGGGGAGACUGGAAUUCCUGGUGUAGCGGUGAAAUGCGCAGAUAUCAGGAGGAACACCGGUGGCGAAGGCGGGUCUCUGGGCAGUAACUGACGCUGAGGAGCGAAAGCAUGGGGAGCGAACAGGAUUAGAUACCCUGGUAGUCCAUGCCGUAAACGGUGGGCGCUAGGUGUGGGUUUCCUUCCACGGGAUCCGUGCCGUAGCUAACGCAUUAAGCGCCCCGCCUGGGGAGUACGGCCGCAAGGCUAAAACUCAAAGGAAUUGACGGGGGCCCGCACAAGCGGCGGAGCAUGUGGAUUAAUUCGAUGCAACGCGAAGAACCUUACCUGGGCUUGACAUAUACAGGAUCGCGCCAGAGAUGGUGUUUCCCUUGUGGCUUGUAUACAGGUGGUGCAUGGUUGUCGUCAGCUCGUGUCGUGAGAUGUUGGGUUAAGUCCCGCAACGAGCGCAACCCUUGUCUUAUGUUGCCAGCACGUUGUGGUGGGGACUCGUAAGAAACUGCCGGGGUUAACUCGGAGGAAGGUGGGGAUGACGUCAAAUCAUCAUGCCCCUUAUGUCCAGGGCUUCACACAUGCUACAAUGGUCGGUACAGUGGGUUGCCAGUCCGUGAGGGCGAGCUAAUCCCGCAAAGCCGGUCUCAGUUCGGAUCGGGGUCUGCAACUCGACCCCGUGAAGUCGGAGUCGCUAGUAAUCGCAGAUCAGCAACGCUGUGGUGAAUACGUUCCCGGGCCU